UUUCACUCCAACCCAAUCCUUUCUACUCUCCUUUCUCUCUCUCAAUUACCUUAAACAUCUAAUCCUAAUUUUCACUAUCUGAGCCUUUGCUCACAUUUCACUCCCAAUCAAACCCUUUCUCUUCUCUCUAUUUUUACGGAUUCUUCAAAAUUCGAUUUCAAAAAACCAUUUUUCAAACCCUUUAUUAUCUUUUAUUGUUCAAUGUCAACGGAGUUACACGUUUUGAGAUCUGAUAUUUCAACAAAAAUGCUUGAUGUUUAUGCGAAUUUUGGUUUAUUUCAUGGCAUAUUUUAGGAGUUUCAUUUGAUACUCUAAGAGGUAAAGGCAAAAUUUGGUUCUUUUCUAGGCAUUUUUAAGGAGGUUGUUGAUUCAUUCUUGCCAUUUAUGCAGUGAAAAUCACAAAGUUUGUAUUGGUUGAUUAGUUUAGUUUUAGAGGUUGAGUAAAUUUGUAAAAUAAUUUAUUGAACAUCAAUAAAUGUAAUAAACAAUAUUUUCAGUUAUGUAAUCAUAAUUUUUUUA
Mercurialis annua (annual mercury) is the source of this 519-nucleotide long non-coding RNA. RefSeq lists it as uncharacterized. The record is from RefSeq and is a predicted model, not a curated record. NCBI's taxonomy places the organism in Eukaryota, Viridiplantae, Streptophyta, Magnoliopsida, Malpighiales, Euphorbiaceae. The transcript is spliced from 4 exons.